Molecule: long non-coding RNA, 555 nt
Filed under: Homo sapiens (human)
Lineage: Eukaryota; Metazoa; Chordata; Mammalia; Primates; Hominidae
Description: HSALNT0313040
Source: RNAcentral
GUGGGAAUGAAGUGGUCAGUGAAGGAGAGAGGAGUUAUCUGGUGACUGGGAAGAUGGAAAUUAAACAUUGAGAACUCAGGUCUUCAUCAUGGGAAGAUCUAGAUUAUCAGAGAGCCUUGAUCAUUGAAGAAACAACAAAUGAUAAGUGUGGCUGUUAUGCAAAGAGAGAAGCAGGAAGGACCAGGUGUGUUCAGGGAGGCCAGCAUGGGUGUGACCUCAACAGAAAUUGUCCUAUUCCUGAAGCGCUACAAGCUAGGGCUGGACAACUUGAUAUAAAUGUCAGAGGAUGAUCUUCAUGCAUGACGCUUAGUGUCCCACUUAGGAAGUUCACCAAACAUUCAAUGACAUGACAAGAGACAUUCAGACUGAAAAGCAGAAAAAUUAUCAGACUGCAACUGCCAUUUUAUUUCAUCAUCUAAAGAUGCUUUGAGCUGAAAUCUAAAAAUCUUCUCAACUAACUGCCCUCUGGGCUCACAUGCUAAGCUUACAAGUAGCUUUAAACAUUAACUUUUUGUUCUCCUUUAGUUUAUUUCAGUUGGUUUGGUUCAGGUGUAC